This 8613-nucleotide long non-coding RNA is filed under the name Triticum aestivum (bread wheat). RNAcentral's name for it is "long non-coding RNA (TAES_LNC015416)". The record is from RNAcentral. Lineage: Eukaryota; Viridiplantae; Streptophyta; Magnoliopsida; Poales; Poaceae.
UGACCGAUAUGGUGGCAACACCAAGUUGUACGUGGGCCAUCUUUCUACGCACACCCGGACCAAGGAUGUUGAGUACCUUUUCGGCAGAUAUGGGAGGUGAGGAAAUUGGAUCUGGUUUACGCCUUUUGUGCACCACUUGAUUUAACAAGUGUUUGCGUGCAAUUUGGGAACCAUUUACUUGCUGCACCUGGCUUGCUCUAAUUUGUGCAUACUUCUUAGGCAAAGGCAUAUUUCCCUAGAUCAUGGGUCAAUUUAGAACUCCGCCUAUGUUGUCCCAACAACAUACCCGAGCCAAUGUCAAAACUCAGCCACUCUUAUGGAGGUGAAACCCAAAAGAGUUGCGAGAUCUUAUGGGUUUCACCUCUAGCCUACCCCAGCUUGUUUGGGACUAAGGCUUUGUUGCUGUGUUGUUGUUGUAUGGGUCAAUUUAGGUUCCUCGGCAUUGAUGUAGCCUAGAGUCAAGACUACUACUGCAUCACUGAUAAUGUAAUUUUAAUCCAGCUAUAUCAAUAGGCUCUGCUAGGUUACUUUCGGUAGAGGUGUCAUUUUAGCUAUUAACUUGUAAUUGUUUAGCUGUUUAUUGGCUUACCUGUUAGUAGAGACUAGCAACUAGCAAGCUUCGGAAGUUUAAGGUUCCUUCUGUUGCGGCAUAAUCUGUUGAUUUUGACCAUUUACAUAGUGCUACUGGUUGUUGCCAAUUUGCCAUCACAUGUCAGACAAACCUUUCCAGCUUUGACUUGAAUAAUCUUGAUGAAGGUAUUGAGGGGCUAUUACCUUGGUGUCAAUGCUGUGAGGGUGCCUUUGGUGGAAAUUGGUGUCUUGCUGCAAAGUUACAGAAGAUUUUGGCGAUUCUUUUGAAAUAUUCUGUUGCCUAUUCUACGAGUAGAUGUUUACUUUGUGUGAUGGCUGGUGAUGCACUUUUCAUACCAUCUUGAUGGUGUUCCUGUUUUUGUCAACCAUUUCUACAGAAUACGAUGUGUGGAGCUGAAGUAUGAUUAUGGCUUCGUUGUAAGUAACCUCUUACACCCGUGAUUUCCAUGUUCUAUUCCCGGAAUAUGUGCAGCUAAUUGUCUACUUUGUUAGAUUUUUCAUGUUAAGCCCACCCCUAUUUUUGUUUUUCUGGAUCAUGUUGCAGGAGUUUAGCGAUCCCCGGGAUGCAGAUGAUGCAAGGUAUGAGCUUGAUGGCCAAGAGAUUGAUGGGAGCCGUAUCAUUGUUGAGUUUGCAAGAGGGGUAAGCUUUUGUUGUUUAUGAAUGUUCUUUGCUACUGUAAACUUCACCCUGAUGCCAUCUACAAAUGAGCCUUCGAUGGACUGAAAAUUCUCCUCUAUGCGCAAAGUUUAAUCCUUUUAUUACUAGAAAUUGUGCCCGCGCGUUGCAACGGGAGAAACAAAUGCUUGCACGCCCCUAGCGGCCCAUCCAUGUUGUCACUUCUAAUCUUCACUACCGUCACCUAUGGUGGCCAAGUUAUCAACCUAUUCAACGAUGGUGCGCGGCCCCAGUCUCAUUUAAACUUGAUGCAUGCAUCGUCCGGAGCAAACACCGAUUAUCGUGGAGCAGAUCACAAUGUAGUUAAACGGCUCAACAGAUAAUUAAGUAAUACAUAUAAGAUCAAUGAAACUUUUAAUUAAAGAAGGAAGUCAAGGCCCUUAUGGAAGGAGACUGGAUGAUGAACCUUGUUAAGAUUCGUGGCAGUAAAAAAUGUGCUACCCACGGUAAGACUGCAGUAGGUAGGCUGUGAAUUUUCGAAUGUUCCUUUGAAAAUUAGGAAAGUUAUACAAAAUGCUUGUCAUAAUGUGACCAGUUAAUGAUAUUCCAAAUUCCACGCAAAACACGGAACCUUUGCGAGCGCAAAUAAGAUCUCGACACAAGUUAUGAGAUUGACAGAGCGAGCAAGAUGGGGUUCAUGGCGGCAGAUAAGCCGUACUUAGCCAUCCAUGAUCCUGACCUCUAUCUCAAUGGUGUCAGCGCGAAUGGGCGGAACCCCGACCGUAGUUGAAACAGGUGCCCGUCUCUAGCUCCCGCACCAGGGUUUCCUUGACGUCCAACAUGAUGGAGCUGGACCUGAUGCACCCCAAUAUUUUGUCAGAAACAACUAAGUCUGUAGGUAUUAUAUGUGUGGUUUUUUUGCGGGAAAUUAUAUAUGUUUUAUAAUAUGCAAAAAAAAACCGCAUCAUGCCAUGAGUUGGUCGCUAUGGACGGGUGCGUGGAAGCUUGCUAUCCAUGUGCCAGAGCCAUGAGGUGGUCGCGAGAUCUUAUGGGUUUCACCUCUAGCCUACCCCAACUUGUUUGGGACUAAAGGCUUUGUUGUUGUUGUUGUUGUUGCCUCUCUCCCACAAAUUAAUCAAGGGGUUAUAUUCAUGCAUGUUCAAUGGAUCGCUCUCCAUCUCCUAUUAAUUAAUUUUAAUUGGCCAAGCGACCUCCCCCUCUCCGGUUAAUUAAUUCUAGUUGGCCAACAGUAGCGGCGUGGCAUUGUGCAUCAGCUGUUUUAAUCGGAUCAUUUUCACCCACUAAUUCCUCCAUGAAUCUUGGGUCUCUCCAUUAAUUCCGGAUGCACCGGCCCGCUCUUUAUUAAUCUCGAGGCACUUAUUGAUUUCAGAUCGCAGACAUUUAUAAAUUGGUGACAUUGUGUGCAAAGGAGCGAUGUGGUACUAUAUAAUAAAUGCAAAACCUCUUUUGUUUUCACAAAUAUGAGUUAGGUCAGUUGGAUCGACGCAAGGAAACUUGAUGGCAGGUAGUGAGUUGGAUCUCUUGUAUCUGCAACUUUUUUGCCGGAUUUGCUGACCGCCCAAGCGGGUGGGCCCAUGUGCGUGAGAAAAAAAAAGGCCGAACCGUUUUUUGUCGACUUAUUACUAAUGGACUGCGGGUUGAUACUUAGAAACAUCAGGGAUUUUUCUGCAAAAUACACAUGACGGACCAAGAAUAUAUAUUCCCUUUAUUAGUAAUAAAAAAUAGGUCUAGGUAUAGAUAUGCAUUUUUGCAGCUACAUGACUCCGAUUUUCUAAUUGCGGAGGAUAAUGAUGUUUGAUUACUUGUUGUACUGUUGCUGUAUUCUUAAUGUUGCUGUCCUCGACUUCAGUUGAUAAGUCUGUGUUGCUUUUCUAGAUCCCGCGUGGCCCAGGAGGUUCCCGCGAGUACUUGGGCAGAGGACCCCCUCCUGGUUCUGGCCGCUGCUUUAACUGUGGGAUUGAUGGGCACUGGGCUCGUGACUGCAAUGCUGGCGACUGGAAAAAUAAGUGCUAUCGCUGUGGAGAAAAGGGCCAUAUAGAAAAAAACUGCCAAAACAGUCCUAAGAAUCUCAAGUAUUUCCUUGCACCCUUUAAUGAGCUUCCUUGUGAUGUUACCUUUUGUUAGUGCACAUUUGAUUUUUAGCUUUUGCAAAUACAGGCGGGGAAGAAGCUACUCACGCUCCCCACCACCUCAUCGCGAAAGGAGCCUAAGCAGGAGUUACAGGUAUGAACCAAUUUUUUUGCCAUUAUGACUGAUGUUUGUGCAAUCUCCAGUGCUUAACUAUAUGUGGUUAUGCCAAGGACUAAUAUGUCUGGGUAUACUAGUAUAUCUUGUUAGCAUUAUGAUUGGAUCUUGUAAAUAAAUAAACAUACUAUUAUGAGAGUUACCCUACUAUAGAUUUGGUCAAAUGCAAUGGGUUUACCUUUCAGCCAUGUAGUAGUAAUCUCUUACCUUUGAUAGUCAUAUAUAUAUCUAUUCAUGCCUGCCACUGCUAUAUGUUGAUAUGUGAUCAGUGAGUCUGUAGAGAGCAGGUAUCUGGUGAUAAGUUUGUGCCAUAUUUUGAUGGAUGCUGAAGAUAUGUAUGGAAAUUAAAUGAAUAUUGUUGAGUCUGUAGAGAGCGGGUAUCUGGUGAUAAGUGGGUGCCAUAAUUUGAUGGAUGCUACUGAUAUGUGAGUGGCAUAAUUUGAUGGAUGCUACUGAUAUGUAUGGAAAUUAUGUGAAUAUUGUGGUGGCAUAGUUCAAAGAGGCACUCUCGGCAACUUUGUAUAACAUGAGCCUGGUGUUUUACAUUCUUCUCUGCUGAGUUGCUUUCCUAGCAGUAUCAUUAAUCAUCAAUGUUGUGAUUUUCUUAUUAACAGCCGAUCGCCUUAUCCAAGGAGGGAUGAUCGUGCUGUUGGCCACGAGGAAAGGCGACCAAGAAGCUCUAGUUACAGCCCUAGGAGGAGUGCUUCACCUUCCGGUUUGAACCGCAGCCCAGCACCAAAUGGCAAGAGCCACCCACCAAGGGAGCAAGCUGAAGUCAAUGGUUCACAUAACGGUGUGAGAGGCAACAGCCUGAGUCCUGCCCGCGAUAGCCGCCCCUGGGAGUGAUGGUGAACGCUGCACACCACCCUCAACUUGAAUUAAUCCUGUUGCAUCGUCUCUUGGGCCGAACUCUUAUGUUUGUAGACUAUGUUAGUAUGUUUGUCGAACGUCGGUUCGCGUUAUGCCUCCUCGUCUAAACCUGUCAAACCUGUCUGAGUCAUGAAUUUUUCAUGUUUGACAAAUGUUGACAUGUGUUAUGCCGCCUUGUCUGAAUCUGAAAAAGUUUUUUGCGGUUGCAACAAUGUUAUGUAGACUUGGCUAGCAUGAUCAGUGUUUCCCAGACGUCACUAGCUAAAUAAUUGUUGCCCCUUAAUCGUAAACUACUGUUCUACUCCCUCCGUAGGGAAAUGUAAGAGCGUUUACAUCACUACUUUAGGCCCUGUUUGGGAAUACUAGCGUUUACAUCACUACUUUAGGCCCUGUUUGGGAAUACUCUGCUCCGGGAGCAGCCGGGAGCGGACGGAGCUCUAGUACAAAAUCUAGGAGCGAGCAAACCGCCGCUCCGCAAAUCUGCGGAGCUGGUGAAUUCCUGAACGCGGGCUUGGUGAUCUAUAAACACUCUUAUAUUUCUCUAAGAGGGAGUACCUUUUAGGCAUCGUGAAAAAAAAUGAAUCAGGAUCAGCAAGCUGCUUAUGGUCUGCAAAGUGUUCCUGUACAAAUUUUCUGUCAAUUUUGUAAGGAAUUGUUUUUGGCUGAAUAUUUAAGUUCAUGUGUUCCAAAUAGGUAGUUAACACUUCUUGAAUAUGCUGACAAACAUCUAACAGAUCAUCCUUUAUAUAAUUCAAAGAACAAAACAUAUAUCAGAACAUGAAUGCAAUUAAGGGCUUGUCAGCAACAACAGUACAUGGUAUGGACGAGCAACAGACAUCUCUUUUCUCCAGGUCAACAUGUUUUUACCAACUUCCUUAGUGACACAGAAACAAUGCAGUCCAGUUCACCUCCCUUCAGUGUUCAUCAGCUGCGAGAAGGCAUCGUUGGUCGACAUCUGAGAGUAAUCCAUGUGCGUGCGGCCUUCGUCUGCUUCGUCUGCGGUACCGAUCUCCAAAGAGCCCAUCCUUCUGGCGUCUGAAGGAAGUUCAGAGAUCUGAUUCAUGCUGUCGACAUUGGAGAUGUCCGGGCCGGCCUCCUGCAGCUGGAGCACAAACUCCAGAUUCCACAGGACAUCACCCAUUGUAGGGCGGUCAACGCCGUAAUCCACAAGACACUUCUCGACCGUCUCACCGUACUUCCUCAAUGACUCUGGCCUGAUUGUCCCAGCGAUCCGUUGAUCGACGAUCUGACCAAGCUCUCCCCUCUUCUGCCACUUGAUUGCCCAUUCUGCAAGGUUGAUCAUGUCUCUUGGAAGCGUCGGAUCGAUGACUGGCCUCGCACAGAUCACCUCCAGCAAGACCACGCCGAAUGAGUACACAUCCGACUUGUCGGUCAGCUUCUGCCUCCGGUAGUACUCAGGGUCAAGAUACCCGAAGCUCCCUUUCACCGCAGUGCUAACAUGUGUUUGAUCCAACUCAGGUCCCGUCUUCGAGAGACCGAAAUCAGAAACCUUGGCCAUGAGAUUUUCGUCGAGGAGAAUGUUUGCCGACUUGACAUCACGAUGGAUGAUCGACUUUGCAAAACCUGUGUGCAGGUAGUGGAGCCCCCUUGCAGCCCCUAUGCAGAUUUCCACUCUUUUCUUCCAGCUGAGGGGAGGCAUGUCACUGCCAUACAGGUGACUCUUCAGCGUGCCUUUCUCCAUGUACUCAUACACCAAGAUCAUCUCGUUCUGGUCAUCGCAAUAUCCGAUGAGCGACACGAGGUGACGGUGUCGCAGCCCCGACAGCAGCUCGAUCUCUGUCCGGAAUUCUUUGAGCCCUUGGUGGGACUUCUGGUUGCCCCGCUUGACUGCGACUUUGGUGCUGUCCUGCAGAACUGCUUUGUAUACCUUCCCAAACCCCCCAACUCCGACAACCAUCUGCUCGUCGAAGUGUUUUGUUGCCACUUGCAGCAAAGCAAAAGGAAUUCGGUAGCUUACAUCACUGUUUGUCCCAGAUGUAUGAGUGGUCCGGCUGGUUGUUCGGGUACCUAUGCUAAGGAAGCUAAGGCCAUUGAGGGUAAGUGGUGACCAAGAACUUGAAGGUCGACUUGUCGGUGCCCGCCGCGGCUUCUUCUCCUUCUUUCUUCUGAGGACAAAGCAGAGAAUAAUAGCAAUGCUAACAGCACCAACACCUCCGAGAACAGGGGCCAAUAUGAUAGCCAGUUUCCUUUUUGGCGUUGCUGGUGGCCACACAACAUAAAUAGUGCCAGUACUGAUGUUCAUCUUCAUGAUCUCCAGGCCGUUCAAGAUGCCAUCUGGUGCCACAUUGCUCAAGCUGGAAGGCCCAAUGCCGACACUUAGCUUACCAGAAGGAUUGCUUGACUUCAAGACAAAUUCCGUGUAGUAUGGCACAGCCAAGGUACCAAAAACUUUUUCAGAGAGGUCAAGAUUUUCUAACGCUAACCCGCCAUCCACAUAAAUAUCAAAGUAGAGGGAAUAUGCUGCCUUGCUCACUAUGUCACAAAAAUGGAACCGGAUCAGAUAGCUCGAACGACCGUCAACAUCAAAUUGCCAUGUCAUGUUGGACGCUGGGCUGGUUCUAUUUUGCACAGCCAACCGCCUUGCAGUGUUGUACACACUGUCCGGUGCAUCCUCCUUGGUUGCAGCUCCUUUCUGAUAAUUCAGCUUCCCUUGGUAAGCAAACAGUUCAGUGGUAGUGGAAUUUAUGAAGAAGUUCUGGUCAGUAUCCCAUGAACGCGAGAGUGUGUCAUUGACAACGGUCACCUCCCGUCCACCUACAUUAAUCCUGUAGAAUGUCUGAAAUGACUGCGUUGCAAGGCCAAGAUACUGGCCGGAGGGAUUCACAGUUUGGGCUGAAUCCUGUAUCAGAUCAUCAGGAACAGAUAUUACUUCAAUAGCAUUGAUAAAAGAUGUGCUGUUUCCAAGAGGCACAAAUGAGAGAAUCAGCAUAUCCUCGGUAAUAUUCAGCGAAUACUCCCUGACCAACAGUGAGGAAUUGCUCGGCGGAGUGAAAUUGUCAAGUAACACAACAUGCUGGGUGGACACUUUGAACUUUGCCGCGGCAAGAUCAUAGCUCUGGUAUCUGAAACCGAAGAAGUGUAGCCGGACAAAAUGCCGGCCACGGCUCUUCAUGUUGAAGGAGUAGGACGACGGCACAAUGAAUAUCCUUGCAGUUUUAUACAGCACAGGAUUGUCAGAACUUAUGACUGCAUCCGGCAAGGUGUUUGCGGGGACGCUGUGAUGUGAUGUCAAUAUAGUCGAGCCGGAAUUGUCUGCUUUGAAGACCCUCCCAUCGUUGAGAUUAGCGUCGACCGUAGAGCCGCAGUUGAUGAGGUAGUUGUCUGCAGGGGUGAAUUCAGCAGCAUUGCAGGUACCAAGAAGAACCCAGAUGGUCCCAAGAAGGAGCAGAGCUAUCUUCUGCUCGGUAGUGGUGCCCAUGAUGAAUCCAAACAGAAACUGGGGCUACAGGACACAAGAGCCCUGAAUUGCACAAAGAUGCAGCCAGCCAGCAAGGAAAAAGGGGGAGCUAGAACAGCUGAAGAGAGUACAGAUGAUGAAUCUGUUCCAGAGUCCAAGGCAUGCAAUCCCUCAAAACUGAUGUCAUCUCAGGCAGCAAGAGCACUCGGAAAUUGAAGCAAUAGAAAGUGUGAACAGGCUUAGAUUUUCCGUGUCUUGGUCGGCAGGAGGAGGAACCACCAGAAACCUUGCUUAUCAGGCAAGCAAGAACCUUAUCAAGAACACCCGCAUCAUCGCUCCAUCCACCGCGAACUGGAUCUGCACAAUAGUCCCACAAAACAAAAUCAGUAUCGUCACCAACAUGCAGGAGCCCGGAAAAACAGAAUAAAAUCCUUCGACUGAAAUCAACCCAAUCCCCCAGCUGAGACGAGGGGCGGUUACCUUUGCGGCGCAGGCCUUCCAGCGGCUGAAUCGCCUCUUGCCGCCGCCCAAACAAGCAGCCUCGCCCCCGCAAGAACUUCAGACAGGCGGUUGGGGAAGCGGAGGAUCCAGAGCCAGAACCAGAACCAGUCUUUUCUUGAAGCCAGCCAAGAAGAGGGACGGGCUGGUGGAGCACAGGUGGAACGGAACUGGCGGAGAAGCGGACAACGGCACGCCGCCGCUUUAACUUUUGGGCGAAGCGGACAAAGGAAUGGCAAUCCAAAUGCUCGUCUGGAUGGGGAUUUUGGAAGGAGCGAUGGUGAUGGCGAUGGUGGCCCGGAGGUUGGCGAGAUUUUGAGCAGAGUCUUCUUGGGUCCGGGAGGAAGAAAGGGUC